UACGUAGGGUGCAAGCGUUGUCCGGAAUCACUGGGCGUAAAGGGCGCGUAGGCGGCCUGAUAAGUAGGGGGUGAAAUCCUGAGGCUUAACCUCAGGGCUGCCUUCUAAACUGUCGGGCUCGAGCACAGUAGAGGCAGGUGGAAUUCCCGGUGUAGCGGUGGAAUGCGUAGAGAUCGGGAAGAACAUCAGUGGCGAAGGCGGCCUGCUGGGCUGUUGCUGACGCUGAGGCGCGACAGCGUGGGGAGCAAACAGG
This 253-nucleotide ribosomal RNA is filed under the name uncultured bacterium. RNAcentral describes it as "partial 16S ribosomal RNA". It matches the Rfam family "Bacterial small subunit ribosomal RNA", at positions 524 to 776 of the family's 1533-position model. The record is from RNAcentral.